CGGCGGCGGCGCAGGCACUGGUUUCCUCAUCCAUCGUAACCUCCUCCUCACAACGCAUGCCUGUCUCCCUUCUACUGCGGUGGCUGAGGAGACCGAGAUCCAACUCUUCCGUGGCUGCACUGUUGGCCGCCUCGUCCCUCAGAGUUAUCUUCAUCGUGUUGGUCGUACUGCUCGAGCUGGGCGCGAAGGAUAUGCUGUUACAUUUCUCACAGAUGAUGAUAGAUCUCUAUUAAAGGCCAUUGAGCUCAAGUGGGGAUGGACUGGACUACUAUACUGAAGAAGAGGAAUGAAUUCAGGGUGGCAUUUGUUGAAUUUGAUGCAGAGUCUGUCUCCAAGUUCACAGAGAAGCAGAUGGUUUCCAUCAGUGUGGAACUGAAGCUGGAUUUAGGAAGAGUUCGAGGAAUAUCACUAUCUAUUUUGAAACAGAAUUAGUGUUAAUUUUGA
Molecule: long non-coding RNA, 444 nt
Organism: Zingiber officinale
Lineage: Eukaryota; Viridiplantae; Streptophyta; Magnoliopsida; Zingiberales; Zingiberaceae
Exons: 4
Source: RefSeq, a predicted model, not a curated record